Molecule: long non-coding RNA, 1477 nt
Organism: Prunus persica (peach)
Lineage: Eukaryota; Viridiplantae; Streptophyta; Magnoliopsida; Rosales; Rosaceae
Exons: 3
Source: RefSeq, a predicted model, not a curated record
AAAAAAAAAUUAUGAAUGUGGCAGGUGAAGAUUAUAAUUAAUAACUUAUUUUGGAGGCCAGAAAUGACAUGCGAAGAUUAAUAAUUUUAACUUAAUUUGCAGGCUAAUUAUGGUAUCCCCAAAUUAGCUGGAAAAAAAAAAACUGUUGUAACUUGUUGCAUGCGUGAGAGUCAGUUGUUUCUUAGGACUUCGCUUCUUUAAAAAAAAAAAAAAGAAAAAAAAAGGGAAGUACAAAUAUCAGGCUUUUGUUUUGCUCAUAAAUAUUUACUGUUUAGGUUUUCACUUUUGGGAAACAGUCAAGUCACAAACCCUAGAAGCUGACCCUAAUCGAUCAUGGAUCCUCAGCCUCAGCCAGAGCAAGUCAAGUACAUCUGCGGAGGUUGUGGGGAGGAAGUCACUUUGAAGCCAAACGAAAAGGUUCAGUGCCGUCACUGCGAUUACUCUAUCUUGUUCAAGAAGCGUACUCGUCGUAUCGUGGAGUUUCUGGCACGCUAGGGAUGAAUGAGGAUGGAAUAAUUAUAUAUACAACUGUGGCAUGUGAUGUCCUACGUGUUCUGAUUUGCUCAUGUGGGUUUGGGAUUUAUCAGCAAUUAGUAUAUAGAAAAGAAUGUUAGUAGGGCAAUGUGACCAGUUUACGGCUUGGUCUUUAAAAUAAUAUCAUAUUUUAAUUGAUGUCUGUUUUUUUAUAUUUUUAAAUUUGUAUUUGGUGAUUAAAAUAGUGUCUUCGCUGUUGAUGAGCUUACAAGUCCAUAAGCAACUGGUAUUGUUCAGCGUAACUGUAAGAACAUAUUUUAGAAGAGCAUAAGAAACUUGGGGAAUAGAAUGAUUAUGAUGCUGCAAGUCAUUCUACAACUAAACUUUCCAAAGUUCUACAUAAUGGUCAUCGCCUCUUGCGAAAGCAUGAGACAUGACAGUUAGUCCAUUUUCAUUGGUGGCGGUCAUGUCUGGCCCUAGCCGCCAAACAGGUAUCAGACUUCGACCUUGUUGAUCAGGACCGGCUGGUGGCAUUUCGUUGUCCUUCAAAGAAUGAGAAGUUGAGUCAUAUUUUACCAACCUUAAAUGAGAAUGGAAGGAAUGGUGGAGUAGAGUCUGGUUCAAGCACUAAUGGUGGAGUAAAGUGUGGUUCAAGCACUUUAAGAAGAGAUUGAAUCUGCAGUAGGGUUUGAGCACCAAGCACAUUCAAUAGAUAUCAGGGCACUCUAGGUAGGGAAUCAUCAAACACAAACGCAAAACAUGAAAAAUUGGAAAGAAAAAUAAACAUCACGCAUUCGACAAUUUACUCACUGAACUCAUAAAAGGAUUAACCAUAUGAUAUUUCCAGCAUAAGGUCAUAGAUCCAACUUUUAACGGUAGGCAUUAUACGAAGAGCAACCUCAAAUUUGGGACUGCAAUAGCAGAAGUUGAAAUCCGAGAAUUUACAAAUAUUUCGUACUUCUUAAAAGUCUUAUUUACAUAAUAACUUGACUGCACUGGGAUU